ACAUCUCAACUCCUCACGGUUUGCCUGUGAUGAGCUUGGACUUUGGGGGUCUUGCCGGCCUGUGGGUCGGCUCCUCUCAAACAAAUCAGCUUGCCAGUGUUUGGUGGCGUCACAGGUGUGAUAACUAUCUACACUUGUGGUUUUCUGCCAGGUAACCUCCGGCAAUGGGGGUUCACUGGAGCUCACAAAUGUCUCUCCUCGGUGAGGACAGCUCUUUGAAC
Molecule: unclassified non-coding RNA, 221 nt
Filed under: uncultured Tomentella
Lineage: Eukaryota; Fungi; Basidiomycota; Agaricomycetes; Thelephorales; Thelephoraceae
Description: sequence contains ITS2
Source: RNAcentral